Macaca fascicularis (crab-eating macaque) is the source of this 117-nucleotide unclassified non-coding RNA. It matches the Rfam family "Metazoan signal recognition particle RNA". From Rfam's summary of the family: The signal recognition particle (SRP) is a universally conserved ribonucleoprotein. It is involved in the co-translational targeting of proteins to membranes. NCBI's taxonomy places the organism in Eukaryota, Metazoa, Chordata, Mammalia, Primates, Cercopithecidae. The record is from Ensembl.
GCUGGGCGUGGUGGCUCAUGCCUGUAAUCCCAGCACUUUGGGAGGCCGAGGCGGGGGGAUCACCUGAAGUCAGGAGUUCAAGACCAGCCUGGCCAACAUGGUGAAACCCCGCCUCUA